Molecule: non-coding RNA, 92 nt
Organism: Pyronema omphalodes
Lineage: Eukaryota; Fungi; Ascomycota; Pezizomycetes; Pezizales; Pyronemataceae
Source: the annotation of a GenBank genome assembly
GGUGUCGUGGCGCAAUGGUAGCGCGUUGGCUUCCGGUUCUAUAAGCAAGCCAGAUCUGCCAAAGGUUGCAGGUUCGAGUCCUGCCGGUAUCG